RNAcentral lists this ribosomal RNA (492 nucleotides) under uncultured bacterium. RNAcentral describes it as "partial 16S ribosomal RNA". It matches the Rfam family "Bacterial small subunit ribosomal RNA", at positions 29 to 507 of the family's 1533-position model. The record is from RNAcentral.
AGUGAACGCUGGCGGUAGGCCUAACACAUGCAAGUCGAACGGCAGCACAGUAAGAGCUUGCUCUUACGGGUGGCGAGUGGCGGACGGGUGAGGAAUACAUCGGAAUCUACUUUUUCGUGGGGGAUAACGUAGGGAAACUUACGCUAAUACCGCAUACGACCUACGGGUGAAAGCAGGGGAUCUUCGGACCUUGCGCGAUUGAAUGAGCCGAUGUCGGAUUAGCUAGUUGGCGGGGUAAAGGCCCACCAAGGCGACGAUCCGUAGCUGGUCUGAGAGGAUGAUCAGCCACACUGGAACUGAGACACGGUCCAGACUCCUACGGGAGGCAGCAGUGGGGAAUAUUGGACAAUGGGCGCAAGCCUGAUCCAGCCAUACCGCGUCGGUGAAGAAGGCCUUCGGGUUGUAAAGACCUUUUGUUGGGAAAGAAAAGCAGCAGCUUAAUACCCCGCUGUUCUGACGGUACCCAAAGAAUAAGCACCGGCUAACUUCGUG